RNAcentral lists this transfer RNA (70 nucleotides) under Ixodes scapularis (black-legged tick). It matches the Rfam family "tRNA". From Rfam's summary of the family: Transfer RNA (tRNA) molecules are approximately 80 nucleotides in length. Their secondary structure includes four short double-helical elements and three loops (D, anti-codon, and T loops). Further hydrogen bonds mediate the characteristic L-shaped molecular structure. tRNAs have two regions of fundamental functional importance: the anti-codon, which is responsible for specific mRNA codon recognition, and the 3' end, to which the tRNAs corresponding amino acid is attached (by aminoacyl-tRNA synthetases). tRNAs cope with the degeneracy of the genetic code in two manners: having more than one tRNA (with a specific anti-codon) for a particular amino acid; and 'wobble' base-pairing, i.e. permitting non-standard base-pairing at the 3rd anti-codon position. The record is from Rfam by way of RNAcentral. Lineage: Eukaryota; Metazoa; Arthropoda; Arachnida; Ixodida; Ixodidae.
GCAGUCGUGACCGAGUGGUUAAGGCGAUGGACUAGAAAUCCCCACACAGGUUUGAAUCCUGUCGACUCCA